CAGGGAAAAGGUCCCUGCUUGCUUUGUAAGCUUCCAGAAUGCUUUUACUGGGAAACCUGGAUAAUGAGCAAAAAUCAACCAAAACCAAAGAAGCCCUGGAGACAUAUAAGUUGCCGUAAAAGAGCUGAAUGAAGGGGUGGAAUGAGAAGGGCAAAAAGUUAUAUCGACAAAGGUGUCGGGGAACCAAGCUUUUGGAUAUUUUGGCAUAAACCAUACAGCAAAGAGGUAGUUACCCCUAGCAGACUUCUUCUGGAGAGCAUCAAACUUUAUUCCUUGGUAAAGUUCCAGAGAGAUCAAUCCAUAUGCCACCAUCAUCACGAUCCCGGGAAUAAGAAAAAGAAUCAGUAACAGGAACGUGUGCCUAAUAAAAUAAGAAGAAAUUCAAUAACCAUCAACUCUAGUAUUUCAAACUCAGACAGGAUGGAAAAGAUAGGAUUCAUCUCCAUUUCAACUGGUCUGGAUAAAGUCUAUUAUGAAGGACUAGUUAAGUUGGAAAAGGCUGGUGUGUUCUGUGCCUGAAACAAGCCUUCAUGUGAAACCAAUGAGAACUUAAGAACA
This is a long non-coding RNA of Callorhinus ursinus (northern fur seal), 558 nucleotides long. RefSeq lists it as uncharacterized. Lineage: Eukaryota; Metazoa; Chordata; Mammalia; Carnivora; Otariidae. The record is from RefSeq and is a predicted model, not a curated record.